GUGCUCGCUUCGGCAGCACAUAUACUAAAAUUGGAAUGAUACAGAGAAGAUUAGCAUGGCCCCUGUGCAAGGAUUGUGUGUAGUUGGACUCAACAGUUUAUU
Suncus etruscus (white-toothed pygmy shrew) is the source of this 102-nucleotide small nuclear RNA. The record is from RefSeq and is a predicted model, not a curated record. NCBI's taxonomy places the organism in Eukaryota, Metazoa, Chordata, Mammalia, Eulipotyphla, Soricidae.